UAGGGAAUCUUCCACAAUGGAAGCAAGUCUGAUGGAGCAACGCCGCGUGAGUGAAGAAGGUUUUCGGAUCGUAAAGCUCUGUUGUUGGUGAAGAAGGAUAGAGGCAGUAACUGGUCUUUAUUUGACGGUAAUCAACCAGAAAGUCACGGCUAACUACGUGCCAGCAGCCGCGGUAAUACGUAGGUGGCAAGCGUUGUCCGGAUUUAUUGGGCGUAAAGCGAGCGCAGGCGGAAUGAUAAGUCUGAUGUGAAAGCCCACGGCUCAACCGUGGAACUGCAUCGGAAACUGUCAUUCUUGAGUGCAGAAGAGGAGAGUGGAAUUCCAUGUGUAGCGGUGGAAUGCGUAGAUAUAUGGAAGAACACCAGUGGCGAAGGCGGCUCUCUGGUCUGCAACUGACGCUGAGGCUCGAAAGCAUGGGUAGCGAACAGG
Molecule: ribosomal RNA, 429 nt
Filed under: Bacillota bacterium
Lineage: Bacteria; Bacillati; Bacillota
Description: Firmicutes bacterium partial 16S ribosomal RNA
Rfam family: Bacterial small subunit ribosomal RNA
Source: RNAcentral